Molecule: long non-coding RNA, 4765 nt
Filed under: Zostera marina
Lineage: Eukaryota; Viridiplantae; Streptophyta; Magnoliopsida; Alismatales; Zosteraceae
Description: long non-coding RNA (ZMAR_LNC005115)
Source: RNAcentral
CGUGUUGACACGGAUUCAAUCGUGUCGUGUUCGUGUCGAUGUAAAAAUUAAUCGUGUCAACCAUGUUCGUAUUUAGUCAUGUUACACGAAUCACUAAACCUACUCACAGAAGUCAGAGUAGAUAUUGCUAAAACACAACUUGCACUAAUGACGGGAGGGAGGACGCCGUUCGCCUGCUAUUGGUCCUACUCAAUCUACGUACGGACGUACAACCGUACAUGGUGGUCAGUUUGGGAACCGCAAGAGUGAACAUAGCUCCCAGUGGAUGAUUCCUUUCCAAAUACCACGGCACUUCGCUAUCUUCGCCCGACGAGCGUGGUCCUCAACCUGCUCUGCCAGAACUUCUCGAAGACCUUGUCCAUGUCGCUAGCAUGAGUUGACGCCUCAAGCUCGACGGUGGCAGACAUCUCGACCACCACGCCCUGAUACUUGUCAACAUCAACGGAGGCCUCACAUUUAUCAACGGAGGCCUCAACAUCAACAUCAACAUCAACGGGUAUGCCCAUGAUUGGCAACUUGGAGUAUUUUCUCAUUCGUCAAGUAUUUAUCUUGAGUUAUGACCAAUGUUCGGGAGUUGCAACACAUUCCGACUCUUGAGCAUAUCGAGAGGCUUCCCGUGAGUAGGUGGUGGAGAGACAAGGUCAUUUUUGCUACAAACAGUCAUGGGAAUAAAAAAGAAACGAUCACGCCAAUUGUGGGCCCGGUCAGAACAAGUAGAUACCUGCACCCAAUUUUCAUUGUGGACAUCACCAACAGAUAGUACUAGACAAAAAAGUUAUUGAGAGAAGCAACGAUGUCGCAGUCCCGACAAAGCGUUUCAAAGCAGAUAAGUCGCGCCAGCGACGUUGACGGAAAUUGUGAAAGCAUGACCCCACACAUAUUCACGGCCGACCGGACUAGAGGAGAAAGGGAGAUCUUCAGACCAACGUCGGCAUAAUGAGUAUAAACGAUGACAAAGCUGGUCAGAGGGUGUGAACCCAAGGCAUUCCCAGGAGUUUUAUGGCUGAUCACGAUGUUGGAUGACAUCCUCGUAAGCGCAUCCCUGAUCCCGUGGUCGGAAACAUUCGACCGUGGAUUAUUUUUGGAGGGCUCCAGUCUGAAAAGCGAGCUAAGGCGAUCGCUCCAGUCCAGAAGAGGAAGCUAUCGUUGCAACGGAUGGUGAAAGUGGUAACCUGUAGAAGGGAGGAGAGAAUUGAGGCAAGUGAGAAACAACGGAGAGUAAGAGCUGAAGGGGAGUAUUUAACCAAAUGUAUUUUGCUUAUUAUGAAAUAAAAAUUACAGUUUUCCUCCACUCUUCAUCUCCACAAAUUCCAUACGUUACAUCUUCAUCGUGAACUCCCUCCGGCCAUCUUUCCGACCAUCGAUUCACCUAGCCUCACUCCACAAUCAGCCACCAAACUUCAGACGUCCUCCUAGCAAGCCACCGCGACGCUCGGGGUACCUUCAAUUUCGUGAAAGGAACCUCAUAGCAACAUCAAACUUCAAUUCAGAAAUUAAUUUUUUUUAGCCCUCGUAUUCCGAUCUUAGAUCGGAGACAUUGGGCCUAUUCAGGUCCUAUUAAUUUCAAAAAAAAUUCUGGAUUAAUCCUUGAUACAAUUGAUCCGUAUCAACAAGCAAGUCAAGUCAAGAAAGAUGGAAUCAUAGUUAGCAAUAGUGGAAAACAGUUGGAUACUAGUAUAUUUUGAGACCACUGUAACAUGUACGAGCAUGUUAAGGAGGGAUGCUAUAGUUUGAUUGGAUUUUCUAACAAGAUAGGAAAAAUCCACAAGGUGAACCAGGCUGCUUCAACCAACAGAGCAGUACAAGAUCAAGAGAUGAUGGGAAAGGAACCUUCAGGUAUAAGAUGAUAAUUUCAGGAAUUACUUUAAGCAAUAAAAUCUCAAGAUUCAAAAAUAAAAUGAAAAUUGAAUUUAUAAUUGAUUUAGUAGCAGAUGAGCACAUGACUGAAGAUUAUAAUUUCCUAACAAAUGUGACCGACCGACCAGUUGUAUGCAUCCCACUAGUGUUAAAAUACCUAGUGGGGCAUCAUGCAUGUGGGGUAAACAAAAUAAGUGAUAUAGUUAUAUCACCAACACUAAUCCUAAGAGGAGUACGUACGUAUUAUUUGUGCAAAAUUUCUUAGUAAACUCAGUUGAAAAAUUAACAAGAAAUAAUGAUAUUAUUUACUAAAGAAUUUUGUAAAAUACAGGAGAUGACUGGAAGGAGUAAGCUCAAUGAUGGAUUCCACAUCAUUCAAAUGAUGUGGAGCUAGCAUAUUUUGUGUAAUCAUGCAUGUAGUAGCCACAUAUAAUUUGUGGCAUAGUAGAUUGAGACAUACUUCCCAAGAUAAGUUAUUUUACAUAAAUUUUUUUUAACACUGUAAACAUAAAUAAUGACAGAAUUUUUUUGGAUAAUUGUGAUUUUUGUCAUUUAGAAAAAAUGCAUAAACUUUCUUAUGCUUUAAGCAAAACUUAUAAAACUCUUAAAUGUUUUGAUUUGAUACACAUUGAUGUAUAUGGGGUAAAUUUUGCAAACCUACAAAUGAUGGUUAUAAUUAUUUUUGACAUUAGUAAAUGAUCAUUCUAGACAUACAUGAAUUUUCUUAAUGGAUUUUAAAAAUGAAAGUUUUGGAUUAAUUCAUUCAUUUUUUCUAUUAAUAUUAAUCAGAACUAAUUAAUAAUGGAAUAGAAUUCAUUAAUUUAUCAAUGAGUGACUUCCUAUCAUCCAGAGGAGUCAUUCAUCAACAUACAUGUCCAUACACACCUCAGUAAAAUGGAAUUGUUGAAAGAAAACACAAACACUUGUUGGAGGUACGUAUUGUUGAAAGCCCUAUUCUUUCAAUCACAAGUGCCAUUGAAUUUUUGGAGAUUGAUUUUGAAGUGUGCAACACACAUCAUAAACAAGCUCCCAUCAAGAAAAAUUGAAAAAAACACACCACAUUCCAUUCUAUAUGGAGACAUACCAAUAAAUUACAAUUAUUUGAAGUCUUUUGGAUGCUUAGCUUUUGCAUCUACACAUAUGAGACACAAGUUCUCGCCUAGGCUAGCAAGGAAGUUUUUAUGGGUUAUUGCCAAAAUAUCAAGGGAUAUCUCAUUUAUCUAUAAGAUGGGGACAAAAUAAUAACUACAAGAAAUGUCAAGUUUCAUGAAAACACCCUUUUAAGGACAAAAUUCAAGAAAAAUAUGAAAUAUCCUCUCAAAAAAAAUGAGGAUAUGUUCAUAAGUGUAUAUGAAAAGCACAAGAAAAGCAAACAACAAGAGGGAAAUGGUGUUCAAAAUACCAACAAUCAUGAGGUACAAAAUGUUGAGGCGGGCGGGAACCAAUGAAAUAGAUCAAUCAUGUAAAGCACAAGAUGAAAAUCAAAUUCAGACCACCAGUAAGGUAUCUGAAUAUGAGGAAAGAAACAACAAAGAACCAAUUUUAGAAUCCUCUGACCCAAAUAGGAGGUCAACAAGGAAUAAAAGAAAGCCUUCAAAAUAUAUAGAGUAUUUUUGUUCUUUCAUCAGGAACCAAGAUAAAAUACAAAAAUCAGAUCAUCCCAUUCAAGAAAAAUUGAAUUAUGACAAAUUCAAUCAAAAUCAUAAGAAUUUCCUAAAUAACAUUCUAAAAAUUCACGAACCUCAAAACUAUAGAGAGGCGACCACUAACCCAAACUGGUGUGAUGCCAUAGAAACAGAAAUGAAAGCACUUCAAAUUAAUAAAACUUGGUUUUUAACAGAGUUACCAAGUGAGAAAAAGCCCAUCAGUUGUAAAUGUAUUUAUAAAAUCAAACAUGCAUAAGGUAGAUAGAACCACUGAGCGCUAUAAAGAGAGAUUGGUUGCCAGAAGAUACACCCAGAUUGAUUGACUAUCAUGAUAUCUUUGCUCCAGUGGAAAAAUUGGUAUCUAUCAAGACCUUAAUUGCAUUGGCUGCCACAAAAGGAUGUCAGUUGCAUCAAUUAAAUGUCAACAAUGCAUUUUUAAAUGGGGACUUGAAGGAGGAUAUAUAUACGAAACCUCCACCAGGACUAUUAAAGAAAGGUGACAAUAGAGUCUUCAAAUUGACAAAAUCAUUAUAUGGACUCAAUCAAGCAUCUAGAAAUUGGUUUUCAAAAUUGAAAAACAUAUUGCUUGGGUUUGGAUAUAUACAUACAGUUCAAAGCAGACAACUCUUUAUUUUUUAACAAAAAGGGAGGGAAUUCAACUUUCCUUCUUGUAUAUGUGGAUGAUAUACUCAUUUCAAGAAAUGAUCCAAGGUCCAUAAACCAAUUAAAAAUAAAAAUCCAGCAAGUUUUUAACAUAAAAAACCUUGGCAAGCUUAAAUACUUCUUGGGUAUUGAAUUAUCAUCCUUAAAAGAGGGUAUUCACCUUUCUCAGAGAAAAUAUGUUAUGGAUCUACUAAACCAAUAUGGGAUGAUGAGCAGUAGAAUAUCCUUAAUCCCAAUGGACAUAACCAUUGAUCUCAAGAAAGAUGACUCACAGAUACUGAAAGACCCAACAAGAUAGUGAAUACAUUAAGACAAUUCAUGCAAAUACCAAGGGAAUGCCAUCUACAAACAAGAUAGUGAAUACAUUAAGACAAUUCAUGCAAAUACCAAGGGAAUGCCAUCUACAAACAAUAUUUAAAAUAUUGAAAUAUUUGAAGAACUCUCCUGGUUAGGGUUUAUUCUACAAAUAUAACAACACAAUAUUACAUACCAUUUGACGGCAAGGAAGUAAAUCAACAGCUAGAGAAAGAUUUAAUAAACGAGGAGGAUGAAGAAAACACGGAGGAAGAAACAAGCGAAACAACAAGGACUGGGCGAGG